Pectinophora gossypiella (pink bollworm) is the source of this 1172-nucleotide long non-coding RNA. RefSeq lists it as uncharacterized. NCBI's taxonomy places the organism in Eukaryota, Metazoa, Arthropoda, Insecta, Lepidoptera, Gelechiidae. The record is from RefSeq and is a predicted model, not a curated record. The transcript is spliced from 2 exons.
GCUGCCACCACGCCGCGUCGCGAGCCACCCCCACGUCGCACCGGCCCGCUGCCGGCUCCCGCACUACCAUCACCCAAGAGAUGGCGUCACACACUGAACAAUCAUUGUGCUGUGUUACUGGAUCGUCACUGAAGACUUGACCUGUACUGAUUACCUACUGCGAAGAGUGAAGACAUAAAGCUUUGCGCGAGUUCCGUGCUUCCUUACUUCCCAUAGUGCUUAUGAUCGUAUGGAAUGUAAAGAAGUAUGGAGCUGCGCGGGCGUGCCCACGGGUCCGGAAAUCGCAUCAACGUUUCGGCCAUGUGUGACAGAUACUUCAUGAAGACUAUACUACUGUGCUCGUUAUGAUUUUGGAAGUGUGUUAUUUGAUUCGCUUAUGUUUAAAAUGUGUGGCAGCAGUUACUAGUUCUUGUUGGAUAAGUUAUUAUUGAUAAAAAAGGCUUCGAGAUAAAGAUAUUUUUUGUCGGUAUAGAAUGAUUAAUGUUAGCAAGGAGCAGCGUGUCAUUGUCAAGGCGUUCGCCUACGAGUGGUGCGACAAAAAAGGGGAAAGAAACAAAAAGCGGGUGUGUUGGGCCGGGGCCGCGCCUGCGCAACAUCUGGAGGAACACUGCAUCUCAUUAUGCGGAUCGGUCGCGGCUGAAUGGCCGUCGGUGCCCGUGACGUGACCGAGGACAAUGUCUUUAAUAACAUCGGGAAGGGCAUUUCUAUGCUCCUAUCCCACCAUUGUCUCUUGUUUACAGGGCCUUUGUCUGUACUGCUGUAAUUACCCACGUCGGGCAGAUCCCUGGGAAUAAUUUAGAUUUAUGCCCUGUGCAAAUCAAGUUUUACAACAUUUUGACGACAUAUUGUAAUAUAAAUAUGAUUUUGAAACAAGUCUUUGCUUGGUUACAUUGUUGUUCGUAAGACAUGUUGUUUUCAAGUGGGUCAGCUAGGUGUACCUAACAUAUUGUAAUUGCUUGCCAAAUUUGAUGGGUUAUAAUUAGAAUACAUUCAUAGUAUCUACAGUGUAUAAGUAAUAUAUUGCUAAAUAUUGAUUUGUUUUUUUAAGAUAUUAAUGUAGAGGGUGUCUGUGGAUAUAUAAUCAUGUACUUAGGUAAGUAAGUAUUAUAUUUUCUUGAAAAUACUUAGAUGUAGGUAUAAAAUAAAGAAACAAAUCACAAACACUUGUGUAA